UUACUGUACCUUCACGAGCACGAAUCUAAUGAAACAUGGAUAGCUUCAAUGACAUUAGUGCUUGCUGUACCCGAAAUUAUUACUAUAGUCAAACUUUUGUGGUGCUCGUCUUUUCUCCUCAUUGGCAAAUUACGCGAAUGGCCAUCGCUGCCAUCUUUUCUAUUGGGUAUCGUCUGCUCUAUAAUGGAAAGCACCGCAUUAAUAUUUUUUCUUAUGAUAGUCGGUCCCAACCUUCAUCCGAUUAUCCU
This is a long non-coding RNA of Octopus sinensis (East Asian common octopus), 248 nucleotides long. RefSeq lists it as uncharacterized. Lineage: Eukaryota; Metazoa; Mollusca; Cephalopoda; Octopoda; Octopodidae. The record is from RefSeq and is a predicted model, not a curated record. The transcript has 3 exons.